RNAcentral lists this long non-coding RNA (339 nucleotides) under Nicotiana benthamiana. Its description in RNAcentral is "long non-coding RNA (NBEN_LNC012337)". Lineage: Eukaryota; Viridiplantae; Streptophyta; Magnoliopsida; Solanales; Solanaceae. The record is from RNAcentral.
UAAGAACGUUGGACUAUAUAUGUUUUUCUAUGUGUUACUUUGAGAAGUGUGUGAAAGAAGUAAAAACUUUCUUCUAAUUUCUUUUAUUGGGCUGGAUUUUCUUUGGACUAUAUAUGUUGUUUCUUUGAGGAGUGGGUGAAAGAAGUAAAAACUUUCUUCUAAUUUCUUUUAUUGGGUUGGAUUUUCUUUUGAUUAGUCUUUGUUGUUUUUGUUCCUAGUUUAUACUAGAACAGUUUGUUGACUUUUGGAGGUUACGCUUAACUUUAUUCAUCGUUGUGUAGACGAAAUAUCCUUAAGGACAAUGUUCUUGAUGAAUAUACUCUGGUUCACUUGUUUUUC